Molecule: long non-coding RNA, 4407 nt
Organism: Dreissena polymorpha
Lineage: Eukaryota; Metazoa; Mollusca; Bivalvia; Myida; Dreissenidae
Exons: 4
Source: RefSeq, a predicted model, not a curated record
GUUUGAAGCCUAAAAUCAGAACCGUAACCGAUUCGCCUACCUGGAUUUACAGGUAGCAUCACAGCCAAGAAAGGCAAGAUGUCGGCUCAACAUAGUUGCAAGAAAAUAUUGAUACUUCUUAUUUUAUGUUUGUCUUUAGUUCUAGAAUGCAGUGCUCAGAUAAGAUGUUACGUUUGUUCAACUCAAUCUGGGGAGUACGCCUCGUUGUGCGGGGACAACUUCAGACUUCAGUCCAUCAAUGCUUACCAGUGUGAGGGAACUUGUCAAAAAACAAGAGGAUAUAGAGAUGAAGGUGGAAGGCGUGUGGUGGAGGUAACAAGAAGUUGCGUACAAUACACUGGGGAUGGCUGCAAGAGUGGUCCUAACCAAGGCAUCAGUGCUGACAUAUGUACCUGCAACGAAGAAUUGUGUAAUCAUGGUGAAAAGAAACAGAUUUCAGCGGCAUAUUUGGCAACAGCUUUGAUUGUAAACCUUAUUUUGUUUUUAUUAUCAAAAGUGUGAGAAUGGAUACAGCUGUUAUGCUGAGCCAUACUAAUCUAGGAUGUGACAUUGGCCCACUAAAAAUGUGAUAUUAUUCUUGCUUGUUGGGUUGUGGGAAUCUGUUUUUUCAUGUGUUCAGCAUAAUACUAUGAAAAAGCUACAUAUUUAAUGUAUUAUUAUCAGAUCAUAGAACAUUUUAUUGGAUCUGAACCAAACAUAAACACAUUACUGUGAAACAGCAUGCCAGUGAUUACAUGAUGACUGCUAUUCUAUUAUUUUACCAAAGUGCAAGCAUGUCUUUAAGCAGACUUGAAGUGGUUGAUCAGCAAUUGGUGUUGGUUGUCUGCCCUAGGUUAUUCUCCUAUCUGAUGUUUUCAUUAUCUGUGAGCUAGUGGUGAAUGGGGACUGUCUUGCAUCACCCAUGGUUCAUCAACGAGUAGGGAGCUGGGGACCGUUUCAAUAAAUAUCGUUGUACACAUUUACGAUGCGAUACAUUUUUCGAAGAUACAUAAUUGCUUAAGUAAAAUCACAUGAUUAUAAAUUUUCAGUACUUAAUUAAUUACAUUGGCAUCUCAAGUGCCGUAUAUAUUUGACAAGCAUGGCGAGCUAGUUCGUCUACUUAUCAAGAUUACAAAAUUCUCUCAUAAGUUAAAAUUGUCGUACAAUCGUUUAUGAAACAGCCCCCAAACUUCAUUUUCCUUUUUAUCUUUUCCAAAAUUAAAAAAAAUACAGGACCAUUAAUUCUGUGGUUUUAUAAUUGGUAAUAUCAGAUCAGGAACACCAUGGUUUUUGUCCAGUUUCAAUUGGAAAAGCUGUUUUAUGAAACUUUGGCAGAUGGUCUAUGAGUUUUAUUAGCUCAGGUUACAAACAACUCUGACUCAUGCUAUAAGAUUCAGAUUUAUUACUUCUUCAAGGCUUAUAAGUGUAAUAAGUACAAAACACUUAUUUCUAGGAUAAAGGCUUCAUGUUUGUCAUAUUGUGACCAGCCUUGCACUCCAAACAAUCUUAAAUCAUAACGUGGUACCUCAAUCACAUAUAUAUUUUAUGUCAUAAUCAUAUACACUUUUUUUUACACACUUUGUGUAUACACCAUUGUGACAGUACUUAUGUUAUGUUAGUUUUUGGUGGGAUUUUUAGUCCCCUACCGGUUUCACCGGAGGGGACUUAUGGUUUUGUCUCCGUCCGUCUGUCCAUUUCACUUUUCUGGAUCCUGCGAUAACUUUAAAAGUUCUUAAUAUUUUUAUGCCCCCCUUCGAAGAAAAGGGGGUAUAUUGCUUUGCACAUGUCGGUCUGUCGGUUGGUCCGUCCACCAGGUGGUUUCCGGAUGAUAACUCAAGAACGCUUGGGUCUAAGAUCAUGAAACUUCAUAGGUACAUUGAUCAUGACUCGCAGAUGACCCCUAUUGAUUAUCAGGUCACUAGGUCAAAGAUCGAGGUCACGGUGACCCGAAAUAGUAAAAUGGUUUCUGUAUGAUAACUCAAGAACGCUUAGGCCUAGGAUCAUGAAACUUGAUAGGUAGAUUGAUCAUGACUCGCAGAUGACCCCUAUUGAUUGUCAGGUCACUAGGUCAAAGGUCAAGGUCACAGUGACCCGAAAUAGUAAAAUGGUUUCCGGAUGAUAACUCAAGAACGCUUAGGCCUAGGAUCAUGAAACUUGAUAGGUAGAUUGAUCAUGACUCGCAGAUGACCCAUAUUGAUUUUCAGGUCACUAGGUCAAAGGUCAAGGUCACAGUGACCCAAAAUAAUAAAAUGGUUUCCGGAUGAUAACUCAAGAACGCUUAUGCCUAGGAUCAUGAAACUUCAUAGGUACAUUGAUCAUGACUGGCAGAUGACCCCUAUUGAUUUUCAGGUCACUAGGUCAAAGGUCAAGGUCACGGUGACGCGAAAUAGUAAAAUGGUUUCCGGAUGAUAACUCAAGAACGCUUAUGGUUAGGAUCAUGAAACUUGAUAGGUAGAUUGAUCAUGACUCGCAGUUGACCCCUAUUGAUUUUCAGGUCAAUAUAUCAAAGGUCAAGGUGACCUGAAAUAGUAAGAUGGUUUCCGGAUGAUAACUCAAGAACGCUAAUGGCUACGAUCAUGAAACUUCAUUGGUACAUUGAUCCUGACUUGCAAAUGACCCCUAUUGAUUUUGUGGUCACUAGGUCAAAGGUCAAGGUCAUGGUGACCCGAAAUAGUAAAAUGGUUUCCGGAUGAUAACCCAAAAAUGCUUAUGCCUAGGAUCAUGAAACUUCAUAGGCACAUUGAUCAUGACUCGCAGAUGACCCCUAUUGAUUUUGAGGUCACUAGGUCAAAGGUCAAGUUCACGGUGACCUGAAAUAAUAAAAUGGUUUCCGGAUGAUAACUGAAGAACGCUUAUUCCUAGGAUCAUGAAACUUGAUAGGUAGAUUGAUCAUGACUCGCAGAUGACCCCUAUUGAUUUUCAGGUCACUAGUUUCAUGAAACUUGGAACAUGGAUAGAUGGCAAUAUGGACAUUAUGCAUGUCAUUUCAUUUCGUUCCUACCUCAAAAAUUAUGGUUGCUAUGGCAACAAAUACACUAGAAAUACUGCUGAAAAUGGUGGUUUUUCUGGAUUCUGCGAUAACUUUUAAAGUUCUUAAUAUUUUUUCAUGAAACUUGAAACAUGGAUAGAUGGCAAUAUGGACAUUAUGCACGUCAUCUCAUUUCGUUCCGACUUAAAAAAAUUCUGGUUGCUAUGGCAACAAAUACACUAGACAUACUGCUGAAAAUGGUGGUUUUCUGGAUCCUGCGAUCACUUUUAAAGUUCUUAAUAUUUUUUCAUGUAACUUGAAACAUGUAUAGAUAGCAAUAUGGACAUUAUGCACGUCAUUUCAUUACGUUCUGACGUCAAAAAUUAUGGUUGCUAUGGCAACAAAUAGAAUAGAAAUACUGCUGAAAAUGGUGGUUUUCUCGAUCCUGCAGUAACUUUUAAAGUUCUUUAUAUUUUUUCAUGAAACUUGAAACAUGGAUAGAUGGCAAUAUGGACAUUAUGCACGUCAUUUCAUUUUGUUCCUAAAUAAAAAAAAAUUGGUUGCUAUGGCAACAAAUAUAUAUAAAAAAAUCUGGAAUUUCUGACAAUGGUGGAGCCAGUAGGGGACUUAUAUUGCUUGACAAUAGUCUUGUUUAUUUCUUGUUUUUUAUUCCAUUUUUUUUUUCAUCAUUCACAUACUAUAUUUGUCAUACAACAUAUUUUGAUUCAAAUUCACAAAAUUGUUUUGUCUGUCUAUGCUGUUGUAAGCUCAUCUGACCACCAAAUCCUCAUGGUGAGCUAUUGUUGUCACCUUGUAUGUCUUGUGUCAUCAACAUUUAGGUUGUUAUUGCACAAGAGGAAAUAUUUCUCAUCCUAUCCUAAUGAGACUUGUUCAGAAUGUAUAACUUAACAAGGGACAAAAUUGUCACAAAACCAGGUUUUCAUUGUGAAAAAAAAAUCUGAUAAAGGGAGAAAACUCAAACUGAACUUUUGAAAUGACCAAAAAAAAUUACCCCCCUUUGUAAUUUUUUUUUUUUUUUAAAUCUAUUUUUAGUCGUGGCGACCUUGACAUUGGAGAUAUUGACGUGAUUCUUUCGUGGGACACACCGUCCCAUGAUGGUGAACAAAUGUGCCAAAUGAUUUUAAAAUCUCACAAUGAAUGACAUAGUUAUGGCCAGGACAAGCUCAUUUAUGGCCAUUUUUGACCUUUGAACUCAAAGUGUGACCUUGACCUUGGAGAUAUCGACGUAAUUAUUUCGCGCGACACACCGUCCAAUGAUGGUGAACAAAUGUGCCAAAUGAUUUUAAAAUCUGACGAUGAACGACAUAGUUAUGGCUCGGACAAGCUCAUUUAUGGCCAUUUUUGACCUUUGAACUCAAAGUGUGACCUUGACCUUGGAGAUAUCGACGUAAUUAUUUCGCGCGACACACCGUCCAAUGAUGGUGAACAAAUGUGCCAAA